CUUUAAUCCAAGCCCAGCUGUAUCUGGUUGACAUCUGAAGCAUUGCAGCAAAACUGUCAAAGGACCUCCUGGUUCAGAGAAU
This is a long non-coding RNA of Sinocyclocheilus anshuiensis, 82 nucleotides long. RefSeq lists it as uncharacterized. The record is from RefSeq and is a predicted model, not a curated record. The transcript has 2 exons. NCBI's taxonomy places the organism in Eukaryota, Metazoa, Chordata, Actinopteri, Cypriniformes, Cyprinidae.